RNAcentral lists this ribosomal RNA (253 nucleotides) under uncultured bacterium. Its description in RNAcentral is "partial 16S ribosomal RNA". It matches the Rfam family "Bacterial small subunit ribosomal RNA", at positions 524 to 776 of the family's 1533-position model. The record is from RNAcentral.
UACGGAGGGUGCAAGCGUUAUCCGGAUUUACUGGGUUUAAAAGGUGCGUAGGUGGGUAGGUAAGUCAGUGGUGAAAUCUUCAAGCUUAACUUGGAAACUGCCAUUGAUACUAUUUAUCUUGAAUACUUUGGAGGUAAGCGGAAUAUGUCAUGUAGCGGUGAAAUGCUUAGAUAUGACAUAGAACACCAAUUGCGAAGGCAGCUUACUACACAGUUAUUGACACUGAGGCACGAAAGCGUGGGGAUCAAACAGG